This 497-nucleotide ribosomal RNA is filed under the name uncultured bacterium. Its description in RNAcentral is "partial 16S ribosomal RNA". It matches the Rfam family "Bacterial small subunit ribosomal RNA", at positions 28 to 507 of the family's 1533-position model. The record is from RNAcentral.
GAUGAACGCUGGCUGCUUUCCUCCUCCCUUCACGUCGCGCGCCCGGACGAGAAGCUUGCUUCUCUGCUGUUAGCGGCGGACGGGUGAGUAACACGUGGAUACCCUCCCUAUAAGACUGGGAUAACUUCGGGAAACCGGAGCUAAUACCGGAUAAUAUUUUGAACCGCAUGGUUCAAAAGUGAAAGACGGUCUUGCUGUCACUUAUAGAUGGAUCCGCGCUGCCUUAGCUAGUUGGUAAGGUAACGGCUUACCAAGGCAACGAUGCAUAGCCGACCUGAGAGGGGGAGAGGCCACACGGGAACGGAGACACGGUCCAGACUCCGACGGGAGGCAGCAGUAGGGAAUCGUCCGCAAGGGGAGAAAGCCUGACGGAGCAACGCAGCGUGAGUGAUGAAGGUCUUCGGAUCGUAAAAAGAGGGGAUGAGGGAAGAACAUAUGUGGAAGGAACUGGGCACAUCUUGACGGUACCUAAUCAGAAAGCCAAGGCGAAAGACGGG